GUAACACGUGGGCAACCUGCCUGUAAGUUGGGGAUAACUCCGGGAAACCGGGGCUAAUACCGAAUGAUAAGAUGUGGCGCAUGCCACGCCUUUGAAAGAUGGUUUCGGCUAUCGCUUACAGAUGGGCCCGCGGUGCAUUAGCUAGUUGGUAGGGUAAUGGCCUACCAAGGCAACGAUGCAUAGCCGACCUGAGAGGGUGAUCGGCCACACUGGGACUGAGACACGGCCCAGACUCCUACGGGAGGCAGCAGUAGGGAAUCUUCCGCAAUGGACGAAAGUCUGACGGAGCAACGCCGCGUGUAUGAAGAAGGUUUUCGGAUCGUAAAGUACUGUUGUUAGAGAAGAACAAGGAUAAGAGUAACUGCUUGUCCCUUGACGGUAUCUAACCAGAAAGCCACGGCUAACUACGUGCCAGCAGCCGCGGUAAUACGUAGGUGGCAAGCGUUGUCCGGAUUUAUUGGGCGUAAAGCGCGCGCAGGCGGUCUUUUAAGUCUGA
This 496-nucleotide ribosomal RNA is filed under the name Listeria monocytogenes. Its description in RNAcentral is "bacterial SSU rRNA". It matches the Rfam family "Bacterial small subunit ribosomal RNA", at positions 110 to 592 of the family's 1533-position model. Lineage: Bacteria; Bacillati; Bacillota; Bacilli; Caryophanales; Listeriaceae. The record is from RNAcentral.